This 344-nucleotide RNase P RNA is filed under the name bacterium. RNAcentral's name for it is "RNase P RNA component class A". It matches the Rfam family "Bacterial RNase P class A". Rfam says of the family: Ribonuclease P (RNase P) is a ubiquitous endoribonuclease, found in archaea, bacteria and eukarya as well as chloroplasts and mitochondria. Its best characterised activity is the generation of mature 5'-ends of tRNAs by cleaving the 5'-leader elements of precursor-tRNAs. The record is from RNAcentral.
GGGAGUGGUUCGGCGGUCGCCCCCGUUGCUGCGGGGGAGGAAAGUCCGGACUCCUGCAGGAAGGGCGACUCCUAACGGGAGCGGCCCGCAAGGGCUGGAAAGUGCCACAGAAACGACACCGUCUGCGCCGCCAGCGCGGACAAGGGUGAAAUGGCGAGGCAAGAGCUCACCGCCUGCCUGGCAACAGGCAGGGCAGGGCAAACCCCGCCCGGAGCAAGGUCACGCAGGGCCUGUGAGAUUCCUGCCUCAAAGGGCCCGGGUAGACCGCACGAGCGCAGGAGCGAUUCUGCGCCCAGAUGAAUGACCGCCCACGACAGAAUCCGGCUUAUGGACCGCUCCCGGAC